This 424-nucleotide ribosomal RNA is filed under the name uncultured bacterium. RNAcentral's name for it is "bacterial SSU rRNA". It matches the Rfam family "Bacterial small subunit ribosomal RNA", at positions 28 to 457 of the family's 1533-position model. The record is from RNAcentral.
GAUGAACGCUAGCGGCAGGCUUAACACAUGCAAGUCGAACGGUAGAGUAGCAAUACUUGAGAGUGGCGAACGGGUGAGUAAUAUAUCGGAACGUGCCCAGUCGUGGGGAUAACGUAGAGAAAUUUACGCUAAUACCGCAUACGAUCUAAGGAUGAAAGCGGGGGAUUCGCAAGAACCUCGCGCGAUUGGAGCGGCUGAUAUCAGAUUAGGUUGUUGGUGAGGUAAAAGCUCACCAAGCCGACGAUCUGUAGCUGGUUUGAGAGAACGACCAGCCACACUGGGACUGAGACACGGCCCAGACUCCUACGGGAGGCAGCAGUGAGGAAUAUUGGACAAUGGGCGCAAGCCUGAUCCAGCCAUGCCGCGUGCAGGAUGACGGGUCCUAUGGAUUGUAAACCGCUUUAUACUAGGAAGUAAACACUAC